This 53-nucleotide transfer RNA is filed under the name Pandarus rhincodonicus. RNAcentral describes it as "tRNA-Ser". The record is from RNAcentral. Lineage: Eukaryota; Metazoa; Arthropoda; Copepoda; Siphonostomatoida; Pandaridae.
UAGCUUGUCAUAGCUUAUUUUGAAAAUAAGUUAAGGGUUUAUCUCAAAGCUAU